UGGGGAAUAUUGCACAAUGGGCGAAAGCCUGAUGCAGCGACGCCGCGUGAGGGAUGACGGCCUUCGGGUUGUAAACCUCUUUCAGCAGGGAAGAAGCGAAAGUGACGGUACCUGCAGAAGAAGCACCGGCUAACUACGUGCCAGCAGCCGCGGUAAUACGUAGGGUGCGAGCGUUGUCCGGAAUUAUUGGGCGUAAAGAGCUUGUAGGCGGUUUGUCGCGUCUGCCGUGAAAUUUCGGGGCUCAACCCCGAACUUGCGGUGGGUACGGGCAGACUAGAGUGUGGUAGGGGAGACUGGAAUUCCUGGUGUAGCGGUGAAAUGCGCAGAUAUCAGGAGGAACACCGAUGGCGAAGGCAGGUCUCUGGGCCACUACUGACGCUGAGAAGCGAAAGCAUGGGGAGCGAACA
RNAcentral lists this ribosomal RNA (407 nucleotides) under uncultured Phycicoccus sp. Its description in RNAcentral is "bacterial SSU rRNA". It matches the Rfam family "Bacterial small subunit ribosomal RNA", at positions 355 to 774 of the family's 1533-position model. The record is from RNAcentral. Lineage: Bacteria; Bacillati; Actinomycetota; Actinomycetes; Micrococcales; Intrasporangiaceae.